Molecule: long non-coding RNA, 1866 nt
Organism: Canis lupus familiaris (dog)
Lineage: Eukaryota; Metazoa; Chordata; Mammalia; Carnivora; Canidae
Exons: 3
Source: RefSeq, a predicted model, not a curated record
AGUGAGGAGACUAGUUAAGACGCUUUUGUAACAGUGGAGGCAGGAAAUGAGAUUGGCUUGGACCAGACUCCACAGCAGCAGAAACUGUGAUCAGAGGUCAGAUCCUGGAUACCUUCUGAAGUAGGCCCGCUGGUAUUUGCUGAUGAUUUGCUUUGGGUGUGUGAGAGCAAAGAGGAGAAGCAAGGAUGCCUCCAAGCUCUUGGCGUGAGGAACUGGGGAGCCAAGUCUCCAUUUGCUGUGAACAGUAAGAAAAACCUAGUGCACGCGUGUGCUGUGUUGCUGGGGAAGAAGCAGCAGCCUGGUUUGGGAGAUGUUAAUUUUGACGUGCCCGUUAUAUAUCUGGAGCUGCAUGCCAUGGGCUGCAUGUGUCUGGAAUUCGGUGGAGAGAUCCAGGCUGGAGAUAGAAAUUUGGGAGUCACAGCAUGUAGGUGGCAUUUCAAAUCCUGCCACUGGCGGAAACUCCAAAAGUGAGAGUGUGCACAGAGAUCCUGAGCUCUGGGGCUCUGCAACCAAUAGAGCCCAGGGAAGCUAAGCACUUUGUCAGCCUCGCUGUAUUGGAAGUGACCAGGCGACAGUUUUGAAGUAAGUGAGAUGUAAGCAGAAGCCUGCAGUUUUCUGGGAACAUUUUCCUUUCCUGAUGGAAGGGACAAAGGAGAUCAAUUACCUAUGAUUAACCCAAAAGCUUCACCUUGCCAAGGUAAACUUCUUCAGCCUUUCAAAGGAAGAGAAGCAUUCAGAUCUUACAAUAGAUGCUGGAACUAUGUAUAAUGUGAAGCAAUCAUUGCCCUGCAACCUUUGUCCAAUAGUAUUUUAAGACUAAUUACUGUACUGUGAUCUUGAGGGGUGCUAGGCAAAUAUAUAUUUCAUCUGGCAUUUAAUUUCUUAGGGCCUGUGCAUGCUAUAUUUGAUAGUCAUGUGUACAAUUUUAUGUAAAUAGACAUGGGAAGGCCUGCAUUAAAAAAGAAAAAAAAAGCCCAAACAAUAAUAACAUAGAAAGAACCAGUACAGAGCUGCAACAUUCUGAAUCAACAAACAUUUACAACAUAUUUCCGGCAGGAGCUACAUACACAGAAACAUGUAAAGCUGGAAGCCCAAUUUAAAGAUGUUGGUUGUUUCUAGUAUAUAAACAUUUGGUGUGCGAAAUAUUUAACGUGAAUUUCUUUAAUCGAGGUAUUUGUGAUUGUAAAACAAAAAUCUUUUUUAAAAAAUGAUUUUAUUUAUUUAUUUGACAGAGAGAGAGAGAGAGAGAGAGAGCACAAACAGGAGUGGCAGGCAGAGGGAGAAGGAAAAGCAGGGAGCCUGACAUGGGACUCAAUCCCAGGACCCUGGGAUCAUGAUCUGAGCCAAAAACAGUUGCUUAACUGACAGAGCCCCUCAGGCACCCUGUACAACAAAAAUCAAGUAUUUGUAGGCUCCUAAAGUAUCCCUGCAUGACUGUAGUUGUCCAUUGACCAGAGUUCAACAAUGAUCCAAACUAUCCCUAGAGUCCCUUCGAAAAUUUGGAAUUUUAAGUUACAGAGAUGAAUGCAUGAGAUCCAACCCCUCCUACUUUGGUCAUUCAUCCAGGUACGCUGGCUCUCUAUUCUCUAUAAGGUGAGUCUACCUCAAAACUAAUAGAAUUCUCUUACUUUAAGACAUUCCAUAGAAGGUGGUUCCAUAGCAUAGGACUUAAAUAAAUUAGUCAUUGCCAACAAGUUGCCAACUUGUUGUUGCCAACAGGUCAUUGUCAUCUGAAUUUAAAAUGUCUUAGAGGAACCUCCACACAGUUUUCCAGAGUGGCUGCACCAUUUCACAUUCCCACCAACAGUGCAAGAGGGUUCCCUUUUCUCCGCAUCCUCUCCAACAUUUGUGGUUUCCUACCUUGUU